CAAGCUAUACUUAGGGUUAAUUUUUAUUUACAUUAAAAAUUUAUUUGUGCAAUUCAAAUUAGCUUGA
Molecule: transfer RNA, 67 nt
Filed under: Tholosanus proximus
Lineage: Eukaryota; Metazoa; Arthropoda; Insecta; Hemiptera; Pentatomidae
Description: tRNA-Val
Source: RNAcentral